This is a non-coding RNA of Oryzias latipes (Japanese medaka), 54 nucleotides long. Lineage: Eukaryota; Metazoa; Chordata; Actinopteri; Beloniformes; Adrianichthyidae. The record is from Rfam.
AAAGUUUCUUAUGCUACAGCAAUGGAUUGGUUCAUAGCCGUUUGCUUUGCCUUU